CCGCCGCUUGUUGUGCUCCUCCACGAUCAAAUUGCGAUAGGGCUUCAGGUCCACCAUGGUGGCAUCCGGCGAGCAGGUCGCAUGGAACUCCUAAGGCUAUGUGCACCGUGUUAUCAGGACACAGUUCGGGAUCGCACCAGGACAACGGCUGGGAGAUCGCCACCCCCAAGAUCAUCAGCAGACAACCGAUCGUCAUACAUCUUCCGGACUCCAUGAUCUCGCUGAAGGUUCAAGUGCAAGUGCAAGUCCUGACCACCGGCAAGGCGAUAUUUAUAACGAAAUUUUGAUGUGCAGGUGGGUGUUUACCAAUCCCGAUACCAAUCCCGACUUUGAUUCCAAAUCCGACGAUCCGAUCCCGAUCACGAUCUCAAUCCGAAAGCGAAACCGCAGCUUGAGACAGGUCAAGCGACGAUUUAUGAAUCAUUUCCAUUUUCGGGGGCCGUUGUCUUUGUCUCAAUUACAGUCUCUGUGUUUUCAUCUUCAAGAGCGUUCACACCGAGAGCUUCAACCCGCACGAGUUCUAGGAAAAGUCGAGCUAUAAACCCCUAAGGUGCCCCGAGGGAGGAGUCUCCACUUUCUUGGCGAGCUUGCCAAGCAGCUACUCAUCCAAAACCAGACUACUUUAGUGGAUCGUUAAUCCCGGAGUCGAGCUUUGGUUUCCCGCAUCCGGAAAAUGGCUUGUGCGUGGUCCACCCCGCAAAUCCUUGUCCUCCAAGCCCCGACGACGGAGUGCAGCCCUUGAGCCAGUUGGACGUGGGUGGCUCUUCUCUGGAAGCCGCUGACAUAUGGAUGUACGCGCUAAUGGCCAAACCGAUGACAAUGGAUGCUCCCACGCAUCCGCCGGGUGAUUCAUGCGUUUCCACUCGCUUAUGCACACUUUGGAGUCGCAUCCUUGGAUGCUCAUUUGCACUGGGAAAAACUAGCAGUAUUUUAAUAUUAUUAAAAUUUUAAGCUGCUUGGAAACUUCAUAAAAAAAAUAUUUUAUAAAAAUUGUGGAGUUUUCGAGAAAUCUAUGUUAUCCUUAGAAAUAAAUUG
Molecule: long non-coding RNA, 1035 nt
Organism: Drosophila biarmipes
Lineage: Eukaryota; Metazoa; Arthropoda; Insecta; Diptera; Drosophilidae
Exons: 3
Source: RefSeq, a predicted model, not a curated record